AAAACUUUCAACAACGGAUCUCUUGGUUCUCGCAUCGAUGAAGAACGCAGCGAAAUGCGAUACGUAAUGUGAAUUGCAGAAUUCCGUGAAUCAUCGAAUCUUUGAACGCACAUUGCGCCCCUUGGUAUUCCAGGGGGCAUGCCUGUUUGAGCGUCAUUUCCUUCUCAAACAUUCUGUUUGGUAGUGAGUGAUACUCUUUGGAGUUAACUUGAAAUUGCUGGC
Molecule: ribosomal RNA, 222 nt
Filed under: Saccharomyces cerevisiae (brewer's yeast)
Lineage: Eukaryota; Fungi; Ascomycota; Saccharomycetes; Saccharomycetales; Saccharomycetaceae
Description: 5.8S ribosomal RNA
Rfam family: 5.8S ribosomal RNA (bases 3-156)
About the family: 5.8S ribosomal RNA (5.8S rRNA) is a component of the large subunit of the eukaryotic ribosome. It is transcribed by RNA polymerase I as part of the 45S precursor that also contains 18S and 28S rRNA.
Source: RNAcentral